This is an RNA transcript of Carya illinoinensis, 2112 nucleotides long. It is a transcript of the gene named TMV resistance protein N-like, with no coding region annotated. The record is from RefSeq and is a predicted model, not a curated record. Lineage: Eukaryota; Viridiplantae; Streptophyta; Magnoliopsida; Fagales; Juglandaceae. The transcript is spliced from 3 exons.
GAGAAUCGGUAAAUUUCGUACCUCUGCUUGGAAGUUGUGGGCCACUUUCCCGGGAAGCUCUAUCAAGAGUUGACGUUGAUUUACAAACCUGCAACUUGAGGACUUCAAGGAUUACCGUGAAUUUCGGUCACGGGCUAAAACAUUGUUAUAGAAUAGAAUCAAAUCUCUCUACUUUAGGCUUAGCAGUGUCCAAUGGCUUCCACCAGCAAUGUUCAAAUACUCCCAUCAUCGUCUGAUCUUUCCUCUCCUAUUUCUGAAUCACCAUGGGAAUAUGAAGUUUUCCUCAGUUUCAGAGGUGAAGACACUCGUUAUACUUUUACUGAACGUCUAUAUGAGGCCUUGGUCGAGAAAGGGAUUGUCACCUUUAAGGACGAUGAAGAUCUCGAAAUAGGAAAACCCAUUUCGCCUGAACUCAUAUGUGCAAUCAAGAAAUCGAGAAUGGCAGUCGUCGUCUUGUCAAGAAACUAUGCAUCUUCCACAUGGUGCUUGCAAGAACUUGUAGAGAUUGAUAAAUGCGUGAAAGAGAGUGGGAUGAAAAUUUUUCCCAUCCUUUAUCAUGAGGAUCCAAGCAAUGUUCGGCAUCAGAGGGAGACUUUUGCAGAUGCCUUUGUAGAGCAUGACAAACGUUACAAAGACAACAUGAAGAAGGCGCAAGGGUGGCGAGAUGCUUUGACAAAAGUGGCCAAUCACUCCGUAUACUCCCUAAAGGAUGGGUCCGAGUCAACGCACAUCCAAAACAUUGUUGGAAAGAUAUCCCAUGAUUUGGAUGGUACACUCUCAGGUGUUGAUGAGGACAGCCUUGUUGGAAUGUACUCCCCAUGAUGUUCGCUCUAUAGGAAUAUGUGGGAUGAGUGGGAUGGGUAAGACAACGCUUGCACAAGCUGUUUUUAAAAGGAUCCGUAGUCAAUUUCAAGCUAGCAGCUUUCUCAACAAUGUUAGAAUGGAGCAUGAAAAACGUGGUUUAGCUACAUUGCAGCAACAGCUCCUCACUGAUAUGAAGUUAAAAAGUGAAAAAGAUAAAGCAUAUGCAUGUACAGGAAUCGAUGAGACAAUUAAGAGAUUGCGUUACAAAAAGGUUCUUCUUGUUCUUGAUGAUGUGGAUAAUAUAGUACAAUUAAAAACAUUAGCAGGGAACCAUAAUUGGUUUGGCUCAGGGAGUAGAAUUAUCAUAACCACUAAAGACAGACAUCUCUUGAAAAUACAUGGAGUACAAAAUGUGUACAUGGCUGAGAAAUUGAAUGAAUGUGAUGCUCUACAACUCUUUUGUCAAGAAGCCUUCCACAAACCCCAUUGUGAAAAAGGCCUUCUAGAUCUAUGCGAGGGGUUUAUAAGUUAUGCUAAUGGGCAUCCUCUAGCUCUUACAGUUUUGGGAUCCUCUCUGUUGGGAAAAGAAAGAAAGGUAUGGGAAAGUGCUUGGGAUAGACUAAAAGAAUUUCCUGACAAAGGUAUUCAGAACACACUUCAAAUCAAUUUUGAUGCGCUGCGGGAUAUAGAGAAAAAACUAUUUUUAGAUAUUGCCUGCUUCUUCAAUGGGGAGGAGCAAAAACGAGUGGUUGAUAUACUAGAAGGUUCCGGUUGCUACCCGGAAAUUGAUAUGGAAAAUCUCAUUGACAAAUCUCUAGUAACCAUUUUAGAGAGAAAAUUGUGGAUACACGAUUUACUACAGAGAAUGGGUUAGGAAAUUAUUCAUUGUCAAUCCCCACAGAAUCCAGGAGAACGCAGUAGGUUAUGGCUUUGUGACGAUGUCUUUAAAGUACUAAUGGAUAAUACAGGAACUGCUUCAGUUGAAGGCAUGAUGCUAAACUCAUAUCCACAUCAACAAGAAUGCUUGAAGCCUGAAGCAUUCUCAUUGAUGACAAAUCUGAGAUUGCUUAGAAUCUACAAUGUGCACCUUCCUCUGGGCCUCAGUUAUCUUUCUAACGAGUUACAUCUUAUGGAAUGGUAUGAAUAUCCUUUGAGAUCCAUACCAAGGGGUUUUCAACCAAUCAAACUUGUUGAGCUCAUAAUGCCUCGCAGCCGCUUUGAGCGGCUACCAAUGGGAUUUACUGUAAGAUUUUUAAUUAUGUUGUAUUUUUUGUUUUUUAAAUAAGUACUUGACUAUUGAUUUUCCUA